Molecule: non-coding RNA, 73 nt
Organism: Angiostrongylus cantonensis (rat lungworm)
Lineage: Eukaryota; Metazoa; Nematoda; Chromadorea; Rhabditida; Metastrongylidae
Source: Rfam
GCACGGUGAGCUCAGUUGGUAGAGCGCCAGACUCUUGAUCUGGCUGUCACAGGUUCGAGCCCCGAAUUAUGCU